This 497-nucleotide ribosomal RNA is filed under the name uncultured bacterium. Its description in RNAcentral is "partial 16S ribosomal RNA". It matches the Rfam family "Bacterial small subunit ribosomal RNA", at positions 28 to 507 of the family's 1533-position model. The record is from RNAcentral.
GAUGAACGCUGGCGGCGUGCCUAAUACAUGCCAGUCGAGCGAACAGACGAGGAGCUUGCUCCUCUGACGUUAGCGGCGGACGGGUGAGUAACACGUGGAUAACCUACCUAUAAGAAUGGGAUAACUUAGGGAAACAGGAGAUAAUACAGGAUAAUAUAUUGAACCGCAUGGUUCAAUAGUGAAAGACGGUUUUGCUGUCACUUAUAGAUGGAUCCGCGGCGCAUUAGCUAGUUGGUAAGGUAACGGCUUACCAAGGCAACGAUGCGUAGCCGACCUGAGAGGGUGAUCGGCCACACUGGAACUGAGACACGGUCCAGACUCCUACGGGAGGCAGCAGUAGGGAAUCUUCCGCAAUGGGCGAAAGCCUGACGGAGCAACGCCGCGUGAGUGAUGAAGGUCUUCGGAUCGUAAAACUCUGUUAUUAGGGAAGAACAAUUGUUUAAGUAACUAUGCACGUCUUGACGGUACCUAAUCAGAAAGCCACGGCUAACUACGUG